This 721-nucleotide ribosomal RNA is filed under the name bacterium IMCC11754. RNAcentral describes it as "bacterial SSU rRNA". It matches the Rfam family "Bacterial small subunit ribosomal RNA", at positions 28 to 745 of the family's 1533-position model. The record is from RNAcentral.
AUUGAACGCUGGCGGCAGGCCUAACACAUGCAAGUCGAGCGCGAAAUUUCCUUCGGGAAUGAGUAGAGCGGCGGACGGGUGAGGAACGCGUAGGAAUCUACCUAGUAGUGGGGGACAACAAUCGGAAACGGUUGCUAAUACCGCAUAAGCCCUAAGGGGGAAAGCAGGGGAUCUUCGGACCUUGCGCUAUUGGAUGAGCCUGCGUCGGAUUAGCUAGUUGGUGGGGUAAUAGCCUACCAAGGCAACGAUCCGUAGCUGGUCUGAGAGGAUGAUCAGCCACACUGGGACUGAGACACGGCCCAGACUCCUACGGGAGGCAGCAGUGGGGAAUAUUGGACAAUGGGCGCAAGCCUGAUCCAGCCAUGCCGCGUGUGUGAAGAAGGCUCUAGGGUUGUAAAGCACUUUCAGUAGGGAGGAAAAGUUAGUAGUUAAUAACUGCUAACCCUGACGUUACCUACAGAAGAAGCACCGGCAAACUCCGUGCCAGCAGCCGCGGUAAUACGGAGGGUGCGAGCGUUAAUCGGAAUUACUGGGCGUAAAGCGCGCGUAGGCGGUUUGAUAAGCUGGAUGUGAAAGCCCUGGGCUCAACCUGGGAAUUGCAUCCAGAACUGUCUGACUAGAGUACAGUAGAGGUGAGUGGAAUUUCCUGUGUAGCGGUGAAAUGCGUAGAUAUAGGAAGGAACAUCAGUGGCGAAGGCGACUCACUGGACUGAUACUGACC